RNAcentral lists this ribosomal RNA (1181 nucleotides) under Escherichia coli. RNAcentral's name for it is "partial 23S ribosomal RNA". It matches the Rfam family "Bacterial large subunit ribosomal RNA", at positions 30 to 1251 of the family's 2925-position model. The record is from RNAcentral. Lineage: Bacteria; Pseudomonadati; Pseudomonadota; Gammaproteobacteria; Enterobacterales; Enterobacteriaceae.
GCCCUGGCAGUCAGAGGCGAUGAAGGACGUGCUAAUCUGCGAUAAGCGUCGGUAAGGUGAUAUGAACCGUUAUAACCGGCGAUUUCCGAAUGGGGAAACCCAGUGUGAUUCGUCACACUAUCAUUAACUGAAUCCAUAGGUUAAUGAGGCGAACCGGGGGAACUGAAACAUCUAAGUACCCCGAGGAAAAGAAAUCAACCGAGAUUCCCCCAGUAGCGGCGAGCGAACGGGGAGCAGCCCAGAGCCUGAAUCAGUGUGUGUGUUAGUGGAAGCGUCUGGAAAGGCGUGCGAUACAGGGUGACAGCCCCGUACACAAAAAUGCACAUAUUGUGAGCUCGAUGAGUAGGGCGGGACACGUGGUAUCCUGUCUGAAUAUGGGGGGACCAUCCUCCAAGGCUAAAUACUCCUGACUGACCGAUAGUGAACCAGUACCGUGAGGGAAAGGCGAAAAGAACCCCGGCGAGGGGAGUGAAAAAGAACCUGAAACCGUGUACGUACAAGCAGUGGGAGCACGCUUAGGCGUGUGACUGCGUACCUUUUGUAUAAUGGGUCAGCGACUUAUAUUCUGUAGCAAGGUUAACCGAAUAGGGGAGCCGAAGGGAAACCGAGUCUUAACUGGGCGUUAAGUUGCAGGGUAUAGACCCGAAACCCGGUGAUCUAGCCAUGGGCAGGUUGAAGGUUGGGUAACACUAACUGGAGGACCGAACCGACUAAUGUUGAAAAAUUAGCGGAUGACUUGUGGCUGGGGGUGAAAGGCCAAUCAAACCGGGAGAUAGCUGGUUCUCCCCGAAAGCUAUUUAGGUAGCGCCUCGUGAAUUCAUCUCCGGGGGUAGAGCACUGUUUCGGCAAGGGGGUCAUCCCGACUUACCAACCCGAUGCAAACUGCGAAUACCGGAGAAUGUUAUCACGGGAGACACACGGCGGGUGCUAACGUCCGUCGUGAAGAGGGAAACAACCCAGACCGCCAGCUAAGGUCCCAAAGUCAUGGUUAAGUGGGAAACGAUGUGGGAAGGCCCAGACAGCCAGGAUGUUGGCUUAGAAGCAGCCAUCAUUUAAAGAAAGCGUAAUAGCUCACUGGUCGAGUCGGCCUGCGCGGAAGAUGUAACGGGGCUAAACCAUGCACCGAAGCUGCGGCAGCGACGCUUAUGCGUUGUUGGGUAGGGGAGCGUUCUGUAAGCCUG